AAUUCGUGAUGUGGGCAGCAUCUCAAAAGGUCCUUAAACCUCUCCCAUGCAUCAUACAUGCUUUCAUCAUCAAACUGCACAAAAGAAGAUAUGUCAUUUCUAGGAAAAU
Molecule: non-coding RNA, 109 nt
Organism: Ricinus communis (castor bean)
Lineage: Eukaryota; Viridiplantae; Streptophyta; Magnoliopsida; Malpighiales; Euphorbiaceae
Source: Rfam